Molecule: ribosomal RNA, 448 nt
Filed under: uncultured bacterium
Lineage: Bacteria
Description: bacterial SSU rRNA
Rfam family: Bacterial small subunit ribosomal RNA
Source: RNAcentral
ACUCCUACGGGAGGCAGCAGUAAAGAAUCUUCCACAAUGGGGGAAAGCCCAUCGAUGGAGCAAUACCGCGUGGGCGAUGAAGGUCGAAAGAUUGUAAAGCCCUUUUCUGAGGGAAGAAUUCUGACGGUACCUCAGGAAUAAGCACCGGCUAACUCCGUGCCAGCAGCCGCGGUAAUACGGAGGGUGCAAGCGUUAUCCGGAAUCAUUGGGCGUAAAGCGUCCGCAGGCGGUUCUUUAAGUCAAAUAUUAAAUUACGAUGCCCAACAUCGUAGCCGUAUUUGAAACUGGAGAACUAGAGUCAUUCAGAGGUGCGUGGAAUUCUGUGUGUAGGGGUAAAAUCCGUAGAUACACAGAGGAACACCAAAAGCGAAGGCAGCGCACUGGGAAUGUACUGACGCUCAUGGACGAAAGCGUAGGUAGCGAACGGGAUUAGAUACCCUGGUAGGUC